GAUGAAGAACGUAGCGAAAUGCGAUAAGUAAUGUGAAUUGCAGAAUUCAGUGAAUCAUCGAAUCUUUGAACGCACAUUGCGCUCCCUGGUAUUCCAGGGAGCAUGCCUGUUCGAGCGUCAUUACAACCCUCAAGCUCUGCUUGGUGUUGGGCCCCGCCGCCCCGGCGGGCCCUAAAGUCAGUGGCGGUGCCGUCCGGCUCCGAGCGUAGUACAUCUCUCGCUCCAGGGUCCGGUGGCCGCCUGCCAGAACCCCCCAACUCUGUGGUUGACCUCGGAUCAGGUAGGGAUACCCGCUGAACUUAAGCAUAUCAAUAAGCGGAGGA
This 323-nucleotide unclassified non-coding RNA is filed under the name soil metagenome. Its description in RNAcentral is "partial contains 5.8S ribosomal RNA, internal transcribed spacer 2, and large subunit ribosomal RNA". The stretch from base 1 to 120 matches the Rfam family "5.8S ribosomal RNA", at positions 35 to 154 of the family's 154-position model. The record is from RNAcentral.